This 465-nucleotide ribosomal RNA is filed under the name Vreelandella stevensii. Its description in RNAcentral is "partial 16S ribosomal RNA". It matches the Rfam family "Bacterial small subunit ribosomal RNA", at positions 338 to 795 of the family's 1533-position model. The record is from RNAcentral. Lineage: Bacteria; Pseudomonadati; Pseudomonadota; Gammaproteobacteria; Oceanospirillales; Halomonadaceae.
CCUACGGGGGGCUGCAGUGGGGAAUAUUGGACAAUGGGCGAAAGCCUGAUCCAGCCAUGCCGCGUGUGUGAAGAAGGCCUUCGGGUUGUAAAGCACUUUCAGUGGGGAAGAAAGCCUUGGGGCUAAUACCCUCGAGGAAGGACAUCACCCACAGAAGAAGCACCGGCUAACUCCGUGCCAGCAGCCGCGGUAAUACGGAGGGUGCGAGCGUUAAUCGGAAUUACUGGGCGUAAAGCGCGCGUAGGCGGUCUGAUAAGCCGGUUGUGAAAGCCCCGGGCGCAACCUGGGAACGGCAUCCGGAACUGUCAGGCUAGAGUGCAGGAGAGGAAGGUAGAAUUCCCGGUGUAGCGGUGAAAUGCGUAGAGAUCGGGAGGAAUACCAGUGGCGAAGGCGGCCUUCUGGACUGACACUGACGCUGAGGUGCGAAAGCGUGGGUAGCAAACAGGAUUAGAUACCCGAGUAGUC